This is a non-coding RNA of Phrynosoma platyrhinos (Desert horned lizard), 74 nucleotides long. The record is from the annotation of a GenBank genome assembly. Lineage: Eukaryota; Metazoa; Chordata; Lepidosauria; Squamata; Phrynosomatidae.
GCCUGUGUGGUGUAGUGACUUGAGCGCUGGACUAUAUGACUCUGGAGACCAGGGUUCAAAUCCCAGCUGGGUCA